RNAcentral lists this non-coding RNA (29 nucleotides) under Mus musculus (house mouse). The record is from RNAcentral. Lineage: Eukaryota; Metazoa; Chordata; Mammalia; Rodentia; Muridae.
UGAAGAAAUAAUGUUUCUGGUGAAGGUUA